Molecule: ribosomal RNA, 416 nt
Filed under: uncultured prokaryote
Also listed under: 1 other name
Description: bacterial SSU rRNA
Rfam family: Bacterial small subunit ribosomal RNA
Source: RNAcentral
UGGGGGAUAUUGCACAAUGGGCGCAAGCCUGAUGCAGCGACGCCGCGUGAAGGAUGAAGGCCCUCGGGUUGUAAACUUCUGUUGGAUGGGAAAAAAAGCCGCAAGGUCUUGAUGGUACCAUUCGAGUAAGCACCGGCUAACUACGUGCCAGCAGCCGCGGUAAUACGUAGGGUGCAAGCGUUGUUCGGAAUCACUGGGCGUAAAGAGAGCGUAGGCGGGAUUGUAAGUUAGGAGUUUAAUGCAUGGGCUUAACCCAUGAUCUGCUUUUAAUACUGCAGUUCUUGAGUAUGGGAGAGGGUGAUGGAAUUCCAGGUGUAGCGGUGGAAUGCGUAGAUAUCUGGAAGAACACCAGUAGCGAAGGCGGUCGCCUGGCCCAAUACUGACGCUGAGGCUCGAAAGCUAGGGGAGCAAACAGG